Molecule: ribosomal RNA, 500 nt
Filed under: uncultured eukaryote
Lineage: Eukaryota
Description: SSU rRNA
Rfam family: Eukaryotic small subunit ribosomal RNA
Source: RNAcentral
AUGUUUAAGACUAGCCAUGCAUGUCUAAGUAUAAGUGUUAUACAGCGAAACUUGCGAAUUGGGCUCAUUAAAACAGUUAUAGUUUAUUUUGACAAUCGAAUUUACAUGGAUAACCGUGGUAAUUCUAGAGCUAAUACAUGCUGGUGUGCCCGACUUUUCGGAAGGGCGGUAUUUAUUAGAUAACAAGCCAAUAUUCCUCUGGUCUAUUGUGGUGACUCAUAAUAACUGAUCGAAUCGCAAGGCCUAUGGCCGCGAUAAGUCAUUCAAGUUUCUGCCCCAUCAGCUUUCGAUGGUAGUGUAUUGGACUACCAUGGCGUUUACGGGUAACGGAGGAUUAGGGUUCGAUUCCGGAGAGGGAGCCUGAGAAACGGCUACCACAUCUAAGGAAGGCAGCAGGCGCGUAAAUUACCCAAUCCUGAUUCAGGGAGGUAGUGACAAGAAAUAACGGACCGAGGCCUUCGGGCUUCGGGAUUGCAAUGAGCCGAAUUUACACCCCUUAG